UGUUGGAAACUUCAUUUUGUUAUCAUAGUAACGCGUCGUUGUUUGUUAUGAAAGUAAAAUAUUACGAAAAGCUGACGGCCUGGCGAAAAAGAUGUUCUUGAUGAUCUGCAAAGGAGUUAGGAACGGGAAUAAUCGGUAUUUUCUUCCCAGAAAGUAUUUAGGCUGUUAAGUGACUCGCUGAUAGUUGACUGAGGCGGCGUCGUUCAGAAUUAGUGUAGACAAAUUGUAUUUGCAGUCUGGGAUCACUUAUAUUUUGGGAAGAUUGUUGAACCACAACAUAGCGAUAAAUGUGACCUGGUACACUUCAACGACAUGUGGAAGGCAUAAAAGGGACUCUUCGGAACAUAAAACGGUCAAGCUUCUAUGAAACCUUCCGCUGAGAGAUUCUACACUGCUCCAAUGUGGACCAAACUUAUUUCAAGGCUUCAUUUGUUAUAUAAAUCGAUUGUUGAAUGAAAAAAAAAAUCACCUAGAAAAACUGGAAA
Long non-coding RNA from Aedes aegypti (yellow fever mosquito), 485 nucleotides. RefSeq lists it as uncharacterized. The record is from RefSeq and is a predicted model, not a curated record. Lineage: Eukaryota; Metazoa; Arthropoda; Insecta; Diptera; Culicidae. The transcript has 2 exons.